Molecule: ribosomal RNA, 292 nt
Filed under: uncultured Planctomycetota bacterium
Lineage: Bacteria; Pseudomonadati; Planctomycetota
Description: uncultured planctomycete partial 16S ribosomal RNA
Source: RNAcentral
GGACUACACGGGUAUCUAAUCCCGUUUGCUCCCCUGGCUUUCGCGCCUCAGCGUCAGAUGGGGUCCAGCACGCCGCCUUCGCCACCGGAGUUCCUGUGAAUAUCAACGCAUUUCACCGCUCCACUCACAGUUCCGCAUGCCCCUACCCCCCUCGAGGCCGCCCGUAUCCGAGGCAGUUCCACGGUUAAGCCGUGGGAUUUCACCCCGGACGCGACAGCCCGCCUACGCGCCCUUUAAGCCCAGUGAUUCCGAACAACGUUCGCACGGUUCGUCUUACCGCGGCUGCUGGCAC